GAGAGAUAUAUGCAUUAGCUCAAUCCUACUCUAAUUCAAUGUAAUCAUUGAAUAUAGAGUCUUGUAUGGAAAUCAAUCCUAGUCCGUCUAGAAUUCCAAUUUAAAUUAGGAUCCACCAAAAUAAAUCCUCAUGAGAUCUUUUUUAUUUUUCCAUAAACUCGGUGUAUGAACCAAACCAAUAAAAAAAAAGGUAUAUCUUUAACAUAAACUACACCCUUUAAGAUGAAAGUUAUAUUUUUCAAAUAAAAAUUAUAUUUUUGGAAGAUACUUAUAUU
RNAcentral lists this long non-coding RNA (275 nucleotides) under Ananas comosus (pineapple). RNAcentral describes it as "long non-coding RNA (ACOM_LNC030067)". The record is from RNAcentral. Lineage: Eukaryota; Viridiplantae; Streptophyta; Magnoliopsida; Poales; Bromeliaceae.